UACAGAGGUCUCAAGCGUUGUUCGGAAUUACUGGGCGUAAAGGGUGCGCAGGCCGCGCGGGCAGUCAAAUGUGAAAUUCCGGGGCUCAACCCCGAAAUUGCGCUUGAUACUUCCGCGCUAGAACUUUGGAGAGGGAUCUGGAAUUCUCGGUGUAGCAGUGAAAUGCGUGGAUAUCGAGAAGAACACUCAGGGCGUAAGCAAGAUCCUGGACAAAUGUUGACGCUCAAGCACGAAGGCUAGGGUAGCGAACGGG
Molecule: ribosomal RNA, 253 nt
Filed under: uncultured bacterium
Lineage: Bacteria
Description: partial 16S ribosomal RNA
Rfam family: Bacterial small subunit ribosomal RNA
Source: RNAcentral